GGACUUGCUCCCUGAUGUUACGGCGGACGGGUGAGUACACGUGGGUACCUGCCUGUAAGACUGGGAUAACUCCGGGAAACCGGGGCUAAUACCGGAUGGUUGUUUGAACCGCAUGGUUCAAACAUAAAAGGUGGCUUCGGCUACCACUUACAGAUGGACCCGCGGCGCAUUAGCUAGUUGGUGAGGUAACGGCUCACCAAGGCAACGAUGCGUAGCCGACCUGAGAGGGUGAUCGGCCACACUGGGACUGAGACACGGCCCAGACUCCUACGGGAGGCAGCAGUAGGGAAUCUUCCGCAAUGGACGAAAGUCUGACGGAGCAACGCCGCGUGAGUGAUGAAGGUUUUCGGAUCGUAAAGCUCUGUUGUUAGGGAAGAACAAGUACCGUUCGAAUAGGGCGGUACCUUGGACGGUACCUAACCAGAAAGCCACGGCUAACUACGUGCCAGCAGCCGCGGUAAUACGUAAGUGGCAACGUUGUCGA
Molecule: ribosomal RNA, 484 nt
Filed under: Bacillus subtilis
Lineage: Bacteria; Bacillati; Bacillota; Bacilli; Caryophanales; Bacillaceae
Description: bacterial SSU rRNA
Rfam family: Bacterial small subunit ribosomal RNA
Source: RNAcentral